Molecule: transfer RNA, 72 nt
Filed under: Trialeurodes vaporariorum (greenhouse whitefly)
Lineage: Eukaryota; Metazoa; Arthropoda; Insecta; Hemiptera; Aleyrodidae
Description: tRNA-Glu for anticodon CUC
Rfam family: tRNA (bases 7-65)
About the family: Transfer RNA (tRNA) molecules are approximately 80 nucleotides in length. Their secondary structure includes four short double-helical elements and three loops (D, anti-codon, and T loops).
Source: RNAcentral
GGCAAAGUAGCCUAGUGGUAGAGUGCUGGACUCUCAAUCGGGAGGUCGCGGGUUCGAACCCCACCGCGGGCA